CGGGUAGCGGAACACGUACACAACCUUCCGAUAAGUGGGGAAUAGCCCAGAGAAAUUUGGAUUAAUACCCCGUAACAUAUAGAGUAGGCAUCUUCUUUAUAUUAUAGCUUCGGCGCUUAUUGAUGGGUGUGCGUCUGAUUAGGUAGUUGGCGGGGUAACGGCCCACCAAGCCUACGAUCAGUAGCUGAUGUGAGAGCAUGAUCAGCCACACGGGCACUGGGACACGGGCCCG
This 232-nucleotide ribosomal RNA is filed under the name uncultured bacterium. RNAcentral's name for it is "partial 16S ribosomal RNA". It matches the Rfam family "Bacterial small subunit ribosomal RNA", at positions 103 to 334 of the family's 1533-position model. The record is from RNAcentral.